This 662-nucleotide ribosomal RNA is filed under the name uncultured bacterium. RNAcentral's name for it is "bacterial SSU rRNA". It matches the Rfam family "Bacterial small subunit ribosomal RNA", at positions 68 to 746 of the family's 1533-position model. The record is from RNAcentral.
GAGACUUCGGUGGAUUUGAUUUAUUUCUAGUGGCGGACGGGUGAGUAACGCGUGGGUAACCUGCCUUAUACAGGGGGAUAACAGUCAGAAAUGGCUGCUAAUACCGCAUAAGCGCACAGAGCUGCAUGGCUCGGUGUGAAAAACUCCGGUGGUAUAAGAUGGACCCGCGUUGGAUUAGCUUGUUGGUGGGGUAACGGCCCACCAAGGCGACGAUCCAUAGCCGGCCUGAGAGGGUGAACGGCCACAUUGGGACUGAGACACGGCCCAGACUCCUACGGGAGGCAGCAGUGGGGAAUAUUGCACAAUGGGGGAAACCCUGAUGCAGCGACGCCGCGUGAAGGAAGAAGUAUCUCGGUAUGUAAACUUCUAUCAGCAGGGAAGAUAGUGACGGUACCUGACUAAGAAGCCCCGGCUAACUACGUGCCAGCAGCCGCGGUAAUACGUAGGGGGCAAGCGUUAUCCGGAUUUACUGGGUGUAAAGGGAGCGUAGACGGUGUGGCAAGUCUGAUGUGAAAGGCAUGGGCUCAACCCGUGGACUGCAUUGGAAACUGUCAUACUUGAGUGCCGGAGGGGUAAGCGGAAUUCCUAGUGUAGCGGUGAAAUGCGUAGAUAUUAGGAGGAACACCAGUGGCGAAGGCGGCUUACUGGACGGUAACUGACGC